AUGCUACUAAACAACAAAGAGAUUACUGAAGGAGCCAGAGAGAAAUAAAAAUACCAAGAGACCAAGGAAAAUGCAAACUUGGGGUUGCAUAACCUAUGAGACACAGCAAAAGUAGUUCUAAAAGGGAAUUUUAGAGCAAUAAAAGCUUAUCUCAGGAAACAACAACAACAAAAGUAUCAAAACAACCUAACCUUAAAGGAACUAGAGAAAGAAUAACAGGCCAACCAAAAAAGUCCCAAAAGUUAGAAGGAAGGAAAUUAUAAAGAUCAGAAAAGAAAUAAAUUAAUAUUUUUUCCUUGUCUCUGUUUAAGUAUCAACCAAAUUAAAAGCUGGUUUUUUGAAAAGAUAAAUAAAAAUGAUAAACUAUUAUCCAGACUUAUCAAGAAAAAAAGGUAUAGGACUUAAAUCAGUAAAAUUAGAAAUGAAGAAAUUACAACUGGCACCACGGAAAUACAAAAGAUCAUAAUGAAAACUACGAGCAACUUUAUGUCAAUAAAACGGACAACUUGGAAUAAAUGGACAAAUACUUAGAAAGGUACGAUCGUCCAGAACUGAACCAGAGAGAAGUAGAAAAUAUGAACAUAUGAAUUACAAGUACUGAUACUGAAUCUAUAAUUAAAAAAUAAAACAAAAAACCUCCCAACAAACAAAAGUCCAGGACUGGAUAGUUUUACAGGCCAAUUCUCUCAAAAAUUUUGAUAACACCCAUACUUCUGAAACUAUUUCCAAAAAUUUCAGAGGAAAGAAGACUUCUGCACUCAUUUUAUGAGGCCAUAAUCACCAGGAUACCAAAACCAGACAAUGAUACCACAAAAAAAGAGAAAAUUAUAGGCCAACAUCACUGAUGAACAUAGACACAAAAGUCCUCAACAGAAUAGUAGCAAAGCAAAUUCACUAAUAUAUUAAGAGGGUCACACCACCAUGAUCAAGUGGUAUUUAUUCCAGGGAUGCAAAAAUUUUUCAACAUCCAUAAAUUAGUCAGUGUGAUAUACAACAUUAACAAAUUAAAGAAUAAAAACCUAUGAUUAUCCCAAUAGAUGUAGAAAAAGCUUUUGAUAAAGUAAUUAAACACACAUUUUUGAUAAAAACUUUCCAAAAAGUGAGCCUAAAGGGAACUAUUUCAAUGUAAUAAAGGCCAUAUAUUACAAACCACAGCUAAAAUCAUAUUCAACAAUGAAGAACUGAAAGUAUUUCCUCUAAGAAUAGGAACAAGGAUGUCCAUGCUCAACAUUUUUAUUCAAUGUAGUUUUGGAAAUCCUAACCACAGCAAUCAUAGAAGAAAAAUAAAUAAAUGGAAUCCAGAGUAGAAAAGAAGUCAAAGUGUCAAUAUUUCCAGAUGACAUGGUACUCUUCAUAAAAAAUCCUAAAAACACUACCAGAAUAGUUCUAGAGCCCACGUUGGUGAAAUUGGUGCACACAAAAUUAAUAAAUACACAGAAAUAUCUCAGAUUUCUAUACACUGACAUUCAAAGAUCAGAAAGAUAUAUUAAAGAAAUAAUCUCAUUUUCCAUCACAUCAAAAAGAAUAAAAUGCCUAGGAAAAAACAUACCUAAGGAGGCUAAAGAUCUUUAAUCCAAAAACUCUGUAAGAUGCUAAUGAAAGAAACUGAAGAUGACACAGAUGGAAAGAUAUAUCAUAUUCUUGGAAGAAUCAAUAUUGUUAAAAUGACUAUGGAAAAAUAUUGUUAAAAUGACUACCCAUGGAAAUAUGGAGAUUUCAGUAUAAUCUCUCACAAAUUACCAAGGACGUUUGUAACAGAACUAGAACUAGAAACUUUAAAAUUUGCAUGGAAACACAAAAAACUUGACUAGCCAAAGCAAUCCUGGAAAGAACAGAGCUGGAGGAAUCAGGAUCCCUCAUCACAGGCUAUACUACAAAGCUACAGUCAUUAAAACAGUAUGGUACCAGUGCAAAAACAGACAUAUAGAUCAAUGGAACAGGAUAGAAAGCCCAGAAAUAAAACCAUACAUCUAUGGUCAAUUAAUAUAUACAACAAAGAAGGCAAGAAAACACAAUGGAGUAAAGAUACUUUCUUCAGUAAGUGGUACUGGGAAAACUGGACAGCUACAUGUACAAAAAUAAAAUUAUGGAGUUCUCAUUGUGGCUCAGUGGGAACAAACCCAACUACUAUCCAUGGGGAUGCAGGUUUGAUCCCUGGCCUCAGUCACUGAGUUAAGGAUCCGUUGUUGCCACAAGCUGUGGUGUAGGUCUCAGAUAUAGCUUGGAUCCCAUGUUGCAGUGGUUGUGAUGUAGGCCAACAGCUGCAGCUCCAAUUCAACCCCUAGCCUAGGAAAUUCCAUAUGCCACAGAUGUAGCCCUAAAAAGACAAGAAAGAAGAAUGCUGUUAGAACUAUUACUAUACACAAAAAUAAACACAACAUGGAUUAAAUACCUAAAUGUAAGACCAGAUACUAUAAAACUCUUACAAGAAAACAUAGGCAGAAUACACUCUGACAUAAAUGAUAGCAGUAUUUUUUGGAUAUGUCUCCUAGAGUAAUGGAAAUAAAAACAGACUGGACCUAAUUAAACUUAAAAGCUUUUGGACAGAAAAGGAACUCAAACUUUGAGUGAAAAAGACAAUCUACAAAUCUACAGACUGGGUCAAAGUAUUUGUAAACAGUGCUACUGACAGGGGAUUCAUUUCCAAAAUAUACAAGUAUCUCAUACAGCUCAAUAUCAAAACAAAAAAAAAAUCAAAAAAUGGACAGAGGGUCUAAAUAGACAUUUCUCGAAAGAAGACAUACAAAUGGCAAACAGUCACAUGAAAAACUCCUCAUCACUAAUUAGAGAAAUGCAAAUCAAAACUACAAUGGGGAGUUCCCGUCGUGGCGCAGUGGUUAACGAAUCCGACUAGGAACCAUGAGGUUGCGGGUUCGGUCCCUGCCCUUGCUCAGUGGGUUAACGAUCCAGCGUUGCCGUGAGCUGUGGUGUAGGUUGCAGACGCGGCUCGGAUCCCGCGUUGCUGUGGCUCAGGCGUAGACCAGUGGCUACAGCUCCGAUUGGACCCCUAGCCUGGGAACCUCCAUAUGCCGUGGGAGCGGCCCAAAGAAAUAGCAA
This 3057-nucleotide long non-coding RNA is filed under the name Sus scrofa (pig). Its description in RNAcentral is "lncRNA (ENSSSCG00060075610.1)". Lineage: Eukaryota; Metazoa; Chordata; Mammalia; Artiodactyla; Suidae. The record is from RNAcentral.